GGAGGAUUCGCCUAGUGGCCUAGGGCGCGCGCUUGGAAAGCGCGUUGGGGGCAACCCCUCACGAGUUCGAAUCUCGUAUCCUCCGCCC
This 88-nucleotide transfer RNA is filed under the name Streptomyces oceani. RNAcentral describes it as "tRNA-Ser". It matches the Rfam family "tRNA". Rfam says of the family: Transfer RNA (tRNA) molecules are approximately 80 nucleotides in length. Their secondary structure includes four short double-helical elements and three loops (D, anti-codon, and T loops). Lineage: Bacteria; Bacillati; Actinomycetota; Actinomycetes; Kitasatosporales; Streptomycetaceae. The record is from RNAcentral.